GCUUACGGCCAUACCACCUGGAACACGCCCGAUCUCGUCUGAUCUCGAGCUAAGCAGGGUCGGGCCUGGUUAGUACUGGAUGGGAGACCGCUGGAAACCAGGUGCAGUAAGCU
Molecule: ribosomal RNA, 113 nt
Filed under: Neogobius melanostomus (round goby)
Lineage: Eukaryota; Metazoa; Chordata; Actinopteri; Gobiiformes; Gobiidae
Source: RNAcentral